CUAAAGAAAGGAAAGGAAGGAAUCCCAAAGAAGCAUGUUGUGUUCCCUGAAGCAUCUACAGCUUUUAGCUUCUACCUCACACUCUGAAAUACUGCUUCAACUCUAAUGAAGGCAAGUGCAUUUCUGCCAUCAGAAGGGAAAACAGCAAAGGGUGAGGAGGGAGUGAUGAUGGAAGUGGAGUAUUAACAAGAUUUGAUGAUGCACAGGAAUGAACAACAGGAAGACUGGUGAGGCAGAGCUUUCCAGAGGACUCACAUUCAGAGGCACAGAUUCCAGGCUGCUGCCUAGGAUCCCAUGAUUCCAGGCCCCCUCCAACCUCUGGGGUGCAUGUUUUAUUGCUGCCUGUCCAGGGAUCCUCUUCAUUUUCUCCUCUUCCAAUGACUUCAUUCUCUGUGCCAGUGAAAGCCAAGGAGUUCGGUUUUGUGUGCCAAGGAGCACAGCUGGGGCGACCCUGCAUUGGCUAAGCUUCCUGUGCCUGAAGAGAGAAAGGAACCUACGAAGCUCAGCCGGGGCUCUGGACAAGUUCCUGUGCCUUGAAGUUGCUAUUUAUGAGAUUAUGGUUAUGUGGAGAAAGAAAACAGAGCUGGAGACCUUGAUCUGGAUAGCUGACCUGGAUUUUUCAGAAGCAGAUAAUGAAAUCUAAUAUAUCUUGGUCAGGUCAAUGAUAAGAGAAGAGAAGAGGGGAGUAAAAGAGAGGGAGGAAAUCCUGCCUCCUUCAGGAAGAGACAUAGACAAUAUCACCUGGCUUUUGCUUUCUGUUUCUGGGAGAGGAUCUGAUUGGUAAGAUGGGUGAAGGAAUAAAGUGUAUCCUGCAGGACUUGUAGUCA
RNAcentral lists this long non-coding RNA (827 nucleotides) under Mus spicilegus (steppe mouse). Its description in RNAcentral is "lncRNA (ENSMSIG00000001867.1)". Lineage: Eukaryota; Metazoa; Chordata; Mammalia; Rodentia; Muridae. The record is from RNAcentral.